Molecule: long non-coding RNA, 1709 nt
Organism: Hemicordylus capensis (graceful crag lizard)
Lineage: Eukaryota; Metazoa; Chordata; Lepidosauria; Squamata; Cordylidae
Exons: 3
Source: RefSeq, a predicted model, not a curated record
UAUGAGAGCAAUGUGAGGAAAUGUCAGUGAGAGCUGAAUAGGGAAGUCUUUGUGAAGGUUUAGUAUGUUUGCAGUAUGUUUGCCUAGGAACAAGAUGUCAGUCCAUCCUGCUCUCCUUGCUCAGGGAAAAACUCAGCAGCAGUACAAGAGGUUACCUUUGUUUAAUAACUAGGUUGCUUAUUUGUGAAAUUUCUGCAUCUUUUUUCCACCUUGUGUUUGUUCCAAAGGUUAAAGCUUAUCUAAUUGGAUGUUAGGGAUGGGGAAAAUAUCCUAAAGUGGAACAGAAUACUUUAGGUGUUAGUUCAUAGAGCCUGCCAAAGCCACCCAGAGAUUUGGAUCAUGGUAGGAUAAUGAGUGUUCCACACAUGUUGAGAGCUUCCUCAGGGGCCUGCUUGAUCCACUUCAGAUUCUUACCCUGUUUUAUUAGGGGUUGAAAAAGGUUCAAGACCUGGUUGUACCACUGCUCCCACCGACAGCUAAGGAACCAGUUUGGCGUCUGGUUUGUCUGUUGUUUUACUGCUGACCUUCAAAUCAACUUUCACCCCUGACCCUUGGAGGCAUCUAUCAUGACAAGAGGCUGUUUAACACAAAUGGUGCCCAUUUAUAGGGGAAGAGACUCAGAAGAUUUCCUUUUUAUGAAGAAUUUGGGUUUUUUUCAUCCCUCUUUUCUCAGUCACCACAGGUGAAAUCCCUCCUAGCAGCUGGCUUAUGAAAUAAUGUGAGGGGAGGCCUUAAUGAGCUGAAAGCACCCUCAGCUGGAGAUAAAUAUAUGCAAAUGAGAUGCACAAACAAAGGCGCCUGGACAGAGAAAUAUCUGCAAUUCCAGCAAAAUGCUGCCUGCAGCUAGAAGAUGAACAGCUUUGAUAAAAUGGAUAUUGUUCUCCAGGAUGCUGCUUUGUGUUGCUUAUUUCACCUGCGGUUCAAUAUAGCUGUGUAACAAAGACCCUGCCGUCCUUUUUAAGAUUGCAUGGAGAGAAAACUCUGAGUUGACAACUAGUGAGGAUCAGUGUUGGAGAGGAGAGAAAACAAACAAACAAACAGACACUUGAACAUUCGCGGAGCAGCACCCAAACAGCCAGCAUUAAUGAAGGCAAUAAAGUCUCUCUAGCUAAUUCAAAGACAGACAUGUAACAUGCUGAUUUUAAUAAGCUUUUUAAAGGCAAUCUCUAACUUUUGAAAGUGUCUCUCUUUCAUUUAAUUGUUUGGGGCUCAUAUAUUGUCAAAACAAACACAUCUACCUAAUAUGUUUCCAAUAUGUGUGUAAGUAUUAUAUAUCUAAGAUAAUGCUUUGAAAUAAUAGUUAAAUUCUUUUGGGGAGGGAAAGAAAGAAAAUUCUUAAAACAGUUCUAUGCACAAAGAAAAGUUUGUUUGCCUGUAUUCUUGAUAAAGCCAUGUAUUUUUGCAUACCAAUCUUUCUUAUUUAACUCUUCCUUAUGUAUCCAUCUAAUUUAGUGGCAGGUGAAGAAAAGUUUGCAUGAAACUGGACUGUAUAAAUCUGAAUACAAAUAUUUAAGAGUUUUGUGAAUUAUAAAUACUUGUACAUGGAUUGGGAGACUUAUUUCUGUCAAACUGUUUCAACAUUUUUUGUACAUGGGGGGAGGAAAGCCUGUGUUUAAGCAUUCUUAUAUGGUUUGAAUAUUUACAGCUGUUACACUAUAAAUGUGCUAGAUUUUGUUUUCUCAAAUAAAUUUUAUGUUUAUUUUUUGGAG